Molecule: ribosomal RNA, 626 nt
Filed under: Promicromonospora sp. YIM 100715
Lineage: Bacteria; Bacillati; Actinomycetota; Actinomycetes; Micrococcales; Promicromonosporaceae
Description: bacterial SSU rRNA
Rfam family: Bacterial small subunit ribosomal RNA
Source: RNAcentral
GGAUCAGUGGCGAACGGGUGAGUAACACGUGAGCAACCUGCCCCCUACUUCGGGAUAAGCCUUGGAAACGGGGUCUAAUACCGGAUAUGAACGUCUGCCGCAUGGUGGGUGUUGGAAAGUUUUUCGGUGGGGGAUGGGCUCGCGGCCUAUCAGCUUGUUGGUGGGGUAAUGGCCUACCAAGGCGUCGACGGGUAGCCGGCCUGAGAGGGCGACCGGCCACACUGGGACUGAGACACGGCCCAGACUCCUACGGGAGGCAGCAGUGGGGAAUAUUGCACAAUGGGCGAAAGCCUGAUGCAGCGACGCCACGUGAGGGAUGACGGCCUUCGGGUUGUAAACCUCUUUCAGCAGGGAAGAAGCGAAAGUGACGGUACCUGCAGAAGAAGCGCCGGCUAACUACGUGCCAGCAGCCGCGGUAAUACGUAGGGCGCAAGCGUUGUCCGGAAUUAUUGGGCGUAAAGAGCUCGUAGGCGGUCUGUCGCGUCUGGUGUGAAAUCCCAUGGCUCAACUGUGGGCUUGCAUCGGGUACGGGCAGACUAGAGUACUGUAGGGGAGACUGGAAUUCCUGGUGUAGCGGUGGAAUGCGCAGAUAUCAGGAGGAACACCGAUGGCGAAGGCAGGUCUCU